AUAGAAAUUAUGCACUUGCUAAAUAAGACAUUGCUAAAACUUCACACAUCCAUUCAGGAUCUCUCAGACAACCUAUCCCAGAAUACCACAUACAGAAAACCCAAGUCUUCAAUGGGUUGGAUGAUGCACACCCACCUUUCAGAGAGCCAUCUACUCUGCUCAGU
Molecule: long non-coding RNA, 164 nt
Organism: Tupaia belangeri chinensis (Chinese tree shrew)
Lineage: Eukaryota; Metazoa; Chordata; Mammalia; Scandentia; Tupaiidae
Exons: 3
Source: RefSeq, a predicted model, not a curated record